GUGCCAGCCGCCGCGGUAAUACCGGCAGCCCAAGUGAUGGCCGCUGUUAUUGGGCCUAAAGCGUCCGUAGCUGGCCGCACAAGUCCGUCGGGAAAUCCACCUGCUCAACAGGUGGGCGUCCGGUGGAAACUGUGUGGCUUGGGACCGGAAGGCGCGACGGGUACGUCCGGGGUAGGAGUGAAAUCCCGUAAUCCUGGACGGACCGCCGAUGGCGAAAGCACGUCGCGAAAACGGAUCCGACAGUGAGGGACGAAAGCUAGGGUCUCGAACCGGAUUAGAAACCCUUGUAGUCC
This 293-nucleotide ribosomal RNA is filed under the name uncultured bacterium. Its description in RNAcentral is "partial 16S ribosomal RNA". It matches the Rfam family "Archaeal small subunit ribosomal RNA", at positions 455 to 747 of the family's 1478-position model. The record is from RNAcentral.